UACGUAGGUGGCAAGCGUUGUUCGGAUUUACUGGGCGUAAAGGGCGCGUAGGCGGCGUGACUAGUCACUUGUGAAAUCUCCGGGCUUAACUCGGAACGGUCAAGUGAUACUGUCGUGCUAGAGUACAGAAGGGGCAACUGGAAUUCUCGGUGUAGCGGUGAAAUGCGUAGAUAUCGAGAGGAACACCUGCGGCGAAGGCGGGUUGCUGGGCUGAUACUGACGCUGAUGCGCGAAAGCCAGGGGAGCGAACGGG
This 253-nucleotide ribosomal RNA is filed under the name uncultured bacterium. RNAcentral's name for it is "partial 16S ribosomal RNA". It matches the Rfam family "Bacterial small subunit ribosomal RNA", at positions 524 to 776 of the family's 1533-position model. The record is from RNAcentral.